AUCAUCUUUACUGCACAAAGUUCUAUUUUCUCUUUGUAAAAAGUUCAGCUUCUAGAAAUUCUGGAAAACUUCAGAACCUUACAUUUCUGAUUCACUACAAGUUGAAAGCAUGGUUUAAAAUUGAAGAUUAAGUCAGUUGGACUUCUUGGUUUCAAGUUGGUUUUUUAUUUGAUUUGAAUCUUCGUGUUAUUUUUGGGGUUAUUGCAGCUGUUUCUACUUCUGAAGUUCUUCCAACAGUUUUCUUUCACUUAGCGUUUGUUUUCAAUUGAUGUUUCAAGGUACACAUGAUCUUUUCCAUAUUUAAAUGCUUGUAAAUGAGAUUUAAGAUGAAUAUGAGCUGUCCCUUUAUAUGCCAAUGCUUGUAUAUUCUUGAUAUGAUUUAUAUGCUGAAAUUACAAUAAUACUGAAGCUUUUUCCUCCUCCCCUUAAAUGUGUGAAUUUCUGUACAUUUAAUUCAUGAGAUACUGUUUCUUUACAUGACUUUGGAUACUGAUCAUCGUAUGUUUGUAUGCAUUUCUGCUUCUUCUUACACUAAUUAAAUAAUAUAUUUAGACUCACAUCCUUAAAACAUGGUUUGUCCAUUGAGUCUGACCCUUACAUGGUCAGAUUCAUGGAUUGAACCUCCCAUUUCCUUCCUUUUGAGUUUAUUCUAGUAUUUCACCAAGGCAGUAUGCCAUGAUUUUGGGUUUGAAACCCAUAUUGGUUCAUGGGUUUAACCUUUAACCUGGUUAAACCCAUGAAUCAUGACUUCUUCUUUUAAUUUUUGUAUUAUGUGUUUAAGUUUGGGUCCGAUAAUGUUGUAAGAUAUUGUAAUUAAGGGUAAUUUGUGAAUAUGACCUUUUCACAUGGUCGGAUUUAUGAAAUUCUUAGUAAAGUAGAAGCUGAUUUGGUAUUAAGAAACUUCAGUGUUGGUGUUUAAGUAAUCAGCUUGCGAGAAAAAAGCUCUGUAGCUGGCCUUUUACAGAUCUUACGCAUGGGUUUGAAGGAGUUGAUGGCAAGGACUUGAAAUUAGAAGAAAUUUUCGUUUUCUUUGCUUUUUCUUUCAUAAAUUUUUUCUUUUUUGAGAUGUUAGUUAUGACGUCUGUUACGAUAUUGAUUAUUAAGAUUUUUCUUGUAUAAAUUCCCGGGCUUUCAAUAUUGUAAGCGGACUGUUAAAAUUUAAAUUACGUUUGAUUACCAGUAGACUAUCAAUGUUAAGAUUUUCUUCUUGUGAUGAACAUAUAUUAUGAUUACAUGUACUAUGAAUUGGGCUAGAUUUGCAACCAGGACGUAGUUUGGGAUUCAUUAGAGCAAGUCUAGGCCUAGGCCAUUGAGCCUGGGCAUUGGACCUAAUCGUGCACUCUAAUUGUGAAUAUUUCCCUCUUGUGAAUUUUGAGAUAAACGCCUGUCCCAUGUCUUGCAAAUCAAUGCAGUGUGAUUUAGUUUUAAACUGGCAUUGUAUUUCAAUUUUCCAUUCAAAAGUGAACUUAUAGCCUCUUCGACUAAUAUAGACACUAUGCAAGGUAGAUAGGCCCAGCCAGUCACAACUGGGCCUGCCUAACAUAAGCCCAAUAUAGGCCAAACUUGGUUUAAAAAUCAAGUGUAGCAAUGGCCCUUAAGCUUCUCAUUUUUGGGCCAAAUUCGAAGCCAAAGCAACCUUAAAAACACGGAUGGAUCCUUAACCAAAUGACCUAGCAGGCUUUUUUAGACCCAAUUCCCCUUGUCCAAAAAUGAUUAAAGGUCCAGUAAAUAUUCCCUAAACUUGCUGAUAAUAAAUAGCUUUAUGUUAAGCUUAUGUUAGUUUUAAAUAUUUAGAUUGAGUUUCUUUCUUACCUGCUUUAUUCUAUUAAUUUUAGCCCGUGUUAGUUUAGAAAAGCAUGCUUAGUUGAUCUAAAUUGCCUAUUUGCUUAAGUUGCUUUGUUUGUACUACGUGAAGCAUGUUAGGCUAGAACUACAUGUUCCCUUGUAUUUCUUUGAAAUUCAUUGCUGAAUAUUUUCUUGUUGUGGCUGUGUAUUUACAUUAGGACUAUGGAUGUGGGAUUUCGGUAGCUCCCCCUUGUUUGUUUACUUUGGGACUACGGGUUAGAUUCCCGAUAGAUCCCCCUACAUAUUUACUUUGGGACUAUGGGUUAGAUUCCCGGUAGAUCCCCCUCCAUAUUUACUUUGGGACUGCAAGUUUGAUUCCCGAUAGAUCCCCUACACGUUGAUAGUUGGACUAUGGGAAGGUAUCCCGGGAGAUCCUUUAGAUAUAUACAUAUGAUGGACUACGAGACGGCAUCCCAAGAGAUCCUCGAACAGUUGAUGAAAUGGACUACAGGAUGGUAUCCUAGGAGAUCCUCGUUGUUAGUAUUGGUACGGAGCUGUUUACUCCUUUUUACCUUAUCUUGUGUGUAUUAUUUGUUGCCUUGUAUAACAUGUCUUACUUCAUAGUAGUACUCGUUAUUCCUGCUUAUUUCAUAUUGUUGCAAGAUUUAUUAUUAUGUUAUUUCUCAGUAGGGCCCUGACAUUCCUCGUCACUACCCGACUAAUGUUAGGCUUGGCACUUACUGAGUACCGUUGUGGUGUACUCAUGCCCCUUCUCAGCAUGUUUUUCAUGUGCAGAUCCAGGUACCUCCAUCCAUGCGUAUUAUUCUCGAGGCGCAGAGAUCUAGAAGAGACUUCGAGGUACAUCUGUCGUGUCCGCAGACCAGGAGUCUCUAUCUUAUUCUAACUUUAGCAUUUAACUUUCCUUUCGUACUGUUGUUUUAGACAUUCUAGAGUUAGAGUUGUGUAUUACAUUCUGUUAGCUUGUGUUCCCGUGAGUAUUCAGGUUUUGGGAUAGUAUUGUAGUAGUUGAGGUAUUGUGAUGUAUGUGCCGGGUGGCAUUCUACAUUACGCUUCCUAUAUUGAUAAACCUUGGUUGAGUAAAAAUUUCUGCAAGUUAUUUGUUUUCCGCAUUUGGGCUUACCUAGUCGUAGGGACUAGGUGUCAUCACGACAUGUUCAUGGAGGGC
Molecule: long non-coding RNA, 2971 nt
Filed under: Nicotiana benthamiana
Lineage: Eukaryota; Viridiplantae; Streptophyta; Magnoliopsida; Solanales; Solanaceae
Description: long non-coding RNA (NBEN_LNC018579)
Source: RNAcentral